This 460-nucleotide ribosomal RNA is filed under the name uncultured bacterium. RNAcentral's name for it is "partial 16S ribosomal RNA". It matches the Rfam family "Bacterial small subunit ribosomal RNA", at positions 338 to 795 of the family's 1533-position model. The record is from RNAcentral.
CCUACGGGAGGCAGCAGUGAGGAAUAUUGGUCAAUGGACGAGAGUCUGAACCAGCCAAGUAGCGUGAAGGAUGACUGCCCUAUGGGUUGUAAACUUCUUUUAUAUGGGAAUAAAACGUUCCACGUGUGGGAUUUUGUAUGUACCAUAUGAAUAAGGAUCGGCUAACUCCGUGCCAGCAGCCGCGGUAAUACGGAGGAUCCGAGCGUUAUCCGGAUUUAUUGGGUUUAAAGGGAGCGUAGGUGGAUUGUUAAGUCAGUUGUGAAAGUUUGCGGCUCAACCGUAAAAUUGCAGUUGAAACUGGCAGUCUUGAGUACAGUAGAGGUGGGCGGAAUUCGUGGUGUAGCGGUGAAAUGCUUAGAUAUCACGAAGAACUCCGAUUGCGAAGGCAGUUCACUGGACUGCAACUGACAGUGAGGCUCGAAAGUGUGGGUAUCAAACAGGAUUAGAUACCCCAGUAGUC